This 462-nucleotide ribosomal RNA is filed under the name uncultured bacterium. RNAcentral describes it as "partial 16S ribosomal RNA". It matches the Rfam family "Bacterial small subunit ribosomal RNA", at positions 338 to 795 of the family's 1533-position model. The record is from RNAcentral.
CCUACGGGUGGCAGCAGUGAGGAAUAUUGGUCAAUGGACGCAAGUCUGAACCAGCCAAGUCGCGUGCAGGAUGACGGCCCUCCGGGUUGUAAACUGCUUUUAGUUGGGAAUAAAAGGGGGCUCGUGAGCCCCGUAUCGUAUGUACCAUCAGAAAACGGACCGGCUAAUUCCGUGCCAGCAGCCGCGGUAAUACGGAAGGUCCGGGCGUUAUCCGGAUUUAUUGGGUUUAGAGGGAGCGUAGGCUGGCGUUUAAGUUAGCUGUGAAAGUCCGCGGCACAACCGUGGAAUUGCAGUUGAUACUGGAAGCCUAGAGUGCACACAGGGAAGGCGGAAUUCAUGGUGUAGCGGUGAAAUGCUUAGAUAUCAUGAAGAACUCCGAUCGCGAAGGCAGGUGUCCGGGGUGCAACUGACGCUGAGGCACGAAAGUGCGGGUAGCAAACAGGAUUAGAUACCCGUGUAGUC